UUUAAAAAAAAAAAAAAAAAAAAGAUAAAAACUCAACUCUUGCAAUCCGGAUUAGCUCCAAAUUCUAUCAAAAGUCCUCGUGAAUCAAGAGAGCUUCUAUCCCAGCUGAUUCCUCCAUUACCAAUUGUCAUGAACACUAAUGGAGAUGAGAUCCACUUUGCACAAAUAAAGUUGGUUGAAGUUCUCCUUUUCUUUGUCCAUGAACACCUAAAUGUUGCUCAAUUCUUAAUUAAAAAAUCUGGCCAUGGGCUACAGCCAAUCUCUAUUCCUUAACAUGGUUCCGCCACCUUAAGAUACCAUGGUUGGUCUUCAAGACAUCACCCACUGACAUAAUAUGACAUAUCUUCAUACAUAAAACAACAAACUGAUAUGAUGCACUCAACCUUCAAAACAUGACUAUAUCCUCAAGAUGAGACAACCAAUCACUAAAAUAUGGCUACAUUUCUUGAGAUAACACAAACAAUCUCCAUCACUUAGAAUUACAAUAGAUAAAAAAUAAAGAAAAGUAGUUAGAAGUGGUAAAACUAUACAUUAGUGGUUGACUAUAUAUAUAUAUCAGCCCGAUUGGAAUUGGAAGUUCUAGUUUGUGGCUGGAAAUGCCCUAAACCGACCACAUAGGUCUGGUUCAAAAACUGGUCUGGACUGUUCAGAAAUGGAGGUUUCAUUUCCAGCCAGUUCAAAGACAGUGAGGUUUCAGUUCCAAGUUUGAUAUAAUCCAACGGUUGACAGUUUUU
This 734-nucleotide unclassified non-coding RNA is filed under the name Hevea brasiliensis (rubber tree). The record is from RNAcentral. Lineage: Eukaryota; Viridiplantae; Streptophyta; Magnoliopsida; Malpighiales; Euphorbiaceae.